This 524-nucleotide ribosomal RNA is filed under the name uncultured bacterium. Its description in RNAcentral is "bacterial SSU rRNA". It matches the Rfam family "Bacterial small subunit ribosomal RNA", at positions 21 to 518 of the family's 1533-position model. The record is from RNAcentral.
GGCUCAGAACGAACGCUGGCGGCGUGGAUUAGGCAUGCAAGUCGAACGGGACUUAUGUUGUAGCAAUACUUUAUAAAGUCUAGUGGCGUAAGGGUGAGUAACACGUGGGUAAUGUACCCGAUAGUUUGGGAUAACGUUCCGAAAGGGACGCUAAUACCGGAUGUGAUGUUAAACCGCCGGGUUUAACAAGAAAGGUGGGGACCGCAAGGCCUGCCGCUAACGGAACGGCCCGCGACCUAUUAGCUAGUUGGUGGGGUAAAGGCCUACCAAGGCGAGGAUGGGUAGCCGAACUGAGAGGUUGACCGGCCACACUGGGACUGAGACACUGCCCAGACUUCUACGGAAGGCUGCAGUCGAGAAUCAUUCACAAUGGACGAAGUCUGAUGAUGCGACGCCGCGUGCGCGAUGAAGGUCUUCGGAUUGUAAAGCGCUUUGAACAGGGAAGAAUGCCGCGUAUUUAAUAGAUAACGCGGAGGGACAGUACCUGACAAACAAGCCCCGGCUAAUUUCGUGCCAGCAGCCGC